Long non-coding RNA from Cottoperca gobio, 829 nucleotides. RefSeq lists it as uncharacterized. The transcript has 3 exons. Lineage: Eukaryota; Metazoa; Chordata; Actinopteri; Perciformes; Bovichtidae. The record is from RefSeq and is a predicted model, not a curated record.
UGACGACAGAGCGGGUGGGCGGUUACUUUAACAGCAUUCUAAAAGAGUGAAGCUACUCGGACCAUCAUGGACAGAGGGCAUACAUCUGUUGCUCAGGAGAUGUAUUGGCUUUCUGCUGGAACUAUGGGUGCUCGAAUAAAAACCCCAAAAUAAUAUUUAUGAGCCUUGGCAGCACCUUUAGUAAGCUGUGAUUCAGCGGGAGGAGGCUCUCUGAGGAGAAGACAAUAACAUUGAGUCACCUUGCUGCAUUGUGAGCCUCUGGCAGCCGAGAGGCAGGACUCCGCAGCAGCAGAGACCAUGCUACAGAGCUGCACUGGACUGCGCAUCAACUAUGUGUGUAUUUGUGUAUGAAUUAGUAUGUAUAAGUGGUUGUGUGUCGUACGGAUGAUGAUAAAUCACAGCAAGGUCAAAUUACAGCAAUUGAGUGGGGAUACCGGAUGAUUACACUGCAGUAUGUAUGACGUUCCAGUGACCCUGUGCUUCAUUUUGCAGACUGGAUGAGGAACAUACAACAAGUUAAUUGAGCACCAAAUUACUUCAAAAUUAAGUACAGCAAUAUCAAUAAUGCAGUGGUAUUAUUGAUUAAAUUCAGACAGUAUUUCUGCACGUUGUAGGUCUCUGCAGGUCUCUGCUUGACCUUACAAUGUAGAACAUUGAUUCCCCAACAUGCAGCAUAGUUUCUUCUCCAGAUCUGUGAUGGUGUUCUCAUAUUUUGACGGUUGUAAUAGGCUAUAGGAUUUUAUGAUUAACACAUUUAAUUUGUUCCUUUACGGUAUAGUGAGUACAAUACACAUGACUGUGAAAUAAAAGGAAAAAACAACAUGUACAU